Molecule: signal recognition particle RNA, 248 nt
Filed under: Desulfobacterales bacterium
Lineage: Bacteria; Pseudomonadati; Thermodesulfobacteriota; Desulfobacteria; Desulfobacterales
Description: signal recognition particle sRNA large type
Rfam family: Bacterial large signal recognition particle RNA
About the family: The signal recognition particle (SRP) is a universally conserved ribonucleoprotein involved in the co-translational targeting of proteins to membranes. Archaeal SRP consists of a 7S RNA and homologues of the eukaryotic SRP19 and SRP54 proteins. In most bacteria, the SRP consists of a 4.5S RNA and the Ffh protein (a homologue of the eukaryotic SRP54 protein).
Source: RNAcentral
UUGUGCUAGGCGGGGAGCUAGCGGUGCCCUAUUCCCGAAAUCCGCUUUAUGCGGGGCUGAAUUCCCUCUGGAGGAUUCUAGAACGGGAAAUCAAAAUCAUUUUGGCCGGCCACCACGCAACAGACGGUCACGAACCUCGUCAGGUCCGGAAGGAAGCAGCGAUAAGUGAUGCAGGCUGUGUCGUGGCUUGAUCCCGGUCAUAGCAAUGAUUGCUGACUUCCUGAAAGGAUUCAAUAGGGGGUGCACAA